GUGCUCGGUUCGGGAGCACAUAUACUAAAAUUGGAACGAUACAGAGAAGAUUAGCAUGGCCCCUGCUCAAGGAUGACAUGCAGAUUAGUGAAGUGUUCUAUAUUUUU
Molecule: small nuclear RNA, 107 nt
Organism: Suncus etruscus (white-toothed pygmy shrew)
Lineage: Eukaryota; Metazoa; Chordata; Mammalia; Eulipotyphla; Soricidae
Source: RefSeq, a predicted model, not a curated record